Molecule: ribosomal RNA, 460 nt
Filed under: uncultured bacterium
Lineage: Bacteria
Description: partial 16S ribosomal RNA
Rfam family: Bacterial small subunit ribosomal RNA
Source: RNAcentral
CCUACGGGAGGCAGCAGUGAGGAAUAUUGGUCAAUGGACGCAAGUCUGAACCAGCCAUGCCGCGUGCAGGAAGACUGUUCUAUGAGUUGUAAACUGCUUUUGUACGAGGAUAAACGCAGAUACGCGUAUCUGUCUGAAAGUAUCGUACGAAUAAGGAUCGGCUAACUCCGUGCCAGCAGCCGCGGUAAUACGGAGGAUUCAAGCGUUAUCCGGAUUUAUUGGGUUUAAAGGGUGCGUAGGCGGUCGGAUAAGUUAGAGGUGAAAUCCCGAGGCUCAACUUUGGAAUUGCAUAUGAUACUGGUCGGCUUGAGUGUAGUUGCGGUAGGCGGAAUUCAUGGUGUAGCGGUGAAAUGCUUAGAGAUCAUACAGAACACCGAUUGCGAAGGCAGCUUACCAAGCUACUUCUGACGUUGAGGCACGAAAGCGUGGGGAGCAAACAGGAUUAGAUACCCGUGUAGUC